Molecule: long non-coding RNA, 1273 nt
Organism: Passer domesticus (house sparrow)
Lineage: Eukaryota; Metazoa; Chordata; Aves; Passeriformes; Passeridae
Exons: 3
Source: RefSeq, a predicted model, not a curated record
UGUGCAAAAAGCCUUGAGGGUUGGACAAGAUAACAGUAGUUUUACAAGAACCUGGAAGGCAAUGAAAAACUUUUAUGGUGUUCUUAAUGUGAAAUUAUUAUUUUUCACUGCUGUUCUGUGCACACAGUAGCUGCUGGCACAGUUUCAAUGGUUAGGUGGCUGACAUGUUAUUUUUGAAUUUUUGAAGUGGCUUUGGGGCCUGACUCAUACACACAAGACAUGGAGCAAAAAAGAAACAGAAGAACUGGUGCUAAGAACCAGUGAAGCCUCUGAUUUGUCUUGUGGUGUGGGCAGAAACAGAUUUUAUUUAAACUGCAACCCCUAAUUGGACUUUUGUUUGUAUCACUCUUCCAAAAUUGUUUCUACAGCAUGAAGAAUGCUCAGGAGAAGGCACUGAAGUUAAGGGCCUUGUUUUAAGACGUGGAACAAACCAGCACAGAGGAGCUUUCCCCAAAAAUGUUCCUCAGGCUCAAAUCUGAACAUGUUGUGUAUUUCAGCCCUCAUUGGGUCUCUCCUUCCCCAUGAGUACUACAGACAGAAAAUAUUUAAAGCAAAAUCACUUUCACUUUCAAGUAAAAGCUUUGUAAGGCAAAGGGGGAGGUGGGAAAGGAGAAAAACGAACUCAUUCUCCAGAGAUUCGAGUCUAGCAGGCUCAUUGCACUGGUGACACUGUCCAGACCUGAGACUGCACCUCCAAAGGCAAAGGGCAGGAGCUAGUUUGUUUAAUUUUGAAUAUUUGCAUAUCUCUUUCUCUCACUGCAUUGGUAUCAGAUCUGCAACAACCUAUUAAAGCUUUCAUUUGAAUAGCCAUUAUAUGCCUGAGAAUGGAGACUGGGCUCCUUGGGAGCGCUUAGGAAUAAACAAAUCAUUUGUGGCACAUGUGUUGUUCAAGCUUCAAGCAAGGAAUUGUGUUUCUCAUUACGUAAAUCUCCAGGCUCUCAGGCAAACCACCACCACCACAGCGAGCCAUUAUGUCCUGCUGUGGUGGUGUCUCCACUUUAAAAAGACUUCUGCACGUGGACUCCUGAACCUGAGAUGUGCCUGGGCAGAGGAAGGAUGUGGAUCCUUGGUCGUUUGCUAACAUGGCUUGGAAAGAAAAUACUGGAAACGAAGCAAAAUAGCAUGAAGUGAAAUCCUAGCAGACAAAUGCUGAACCUGAUGCAACUAAGUUUUUUAAUCAUCCAUUGAAAAAUAUGCCAUCAAUUGCCAGGCAAAUUUCUCAGGUUGAUAUGGCAACUGGAAACACUGGAAAUUAAAAAGCUGAGCAAAUGUU